This 445-nucleotide ribosomal RNA is filed under the name uncultured bacterium. RNAcentral describes it as "partial 16S ribosomal RNA". It matches the Rfam family "Bacterial small subunit ribosomal RNA", at positions 354 to 796 of the family's 1533-position model. The record is from RNAcentral.
GUGAGGAAUAUUGGUCAAUGGGCGGGAGCCUGAACCAGCCAAGUCGCGUGAAGGAAGAAGGAUCUAUGGUUCGUAAACUUCUUUUGCAGGGGAAUAAAGUGCAGGACGUGUCCUGUUUUGUAUGUACCCUGAGAAUAAGGAUCGGCUAACUCCGUGCCAGCAGCCGCGGUAAUACGGAGGAUCCGAGCGUUAUCCGGAUUUAUUGGGUUUAAAGGGUGCGUAGGUGGUUUGAUAAGUCAGCGGUGAAAGUUUGCAGCUUAACUGUAAAAAUGCCGUUGAAACUGUCGGACUUGAGUGUAAAUGAGGUAGGCGGAAUGCGUGGUGUAGCGGUGAAAUGCAUAGAUAUCACGCAGAACUCCGAUUGCGAAGGCAGCUUACUAAGCUACAACUGACACUGAAGCACGAAAGCGUGGGGAUCAAACAGGAUUAGAAACCCUAGUCGUCC